This 298-nucleotide signal recognition particle RNA is filed under the name Saimiri boliviensis boliviensis (Bolivian squirrel monkey). RNAcentral's name for it is "Metazoan signal recognition particle RNA (ENSSBOG00000013008.1)". It matches the Rfam family "Metazoan signal recognition particle RNA". From Rfam's summary of the family: The signal recognition particle (SRP) is a universally conserved ribonucleoprotein. Lineage: Eukaryota; Metazoa; Chordata; Mammalia; Primates; Cebidae. The record is from RNAcentral.
GCCAGGCACAGUGGCACCUGCUUAUGGUCCCAGCUACUCCCGAGGCUGAAGUGGGAGGAUUGCUCGAGCCCAGGAGUUCUGGGCUGUAGUGCGCUAUGCCGAUCGGGUGUCCGCUCUAAGUUCGGCAUCAAUAUGGUGACCUCCCAAUAGCAGAGGACCCCCAGGUUGCCUAAGGAGUGGUGAACAGCCCAGGUUGGAAAUGGAGCAGGUCAAAACUCCCAUGCUGAUCAGUAGUGGGAUCACGCCUUUGAAUAGCCACUGCACUCCAGCCUGGGCAACAUAGCAAGACCCUGUCUCU